ACUCAAAGGAAUUGACGGGGACCCGCACAAGCGGUGGAGCAUGUGGAUUAAUUCGAUACUAACCGAAGAACCUUACCCAGGUUUGACAUCGAUCGCAAUCCCUAGAAAUAGGGCCCUCUCCAAAAGAGACGUGAAGACACUUGUUGCAUGGCUGUCGUCAGCUCGUGCCGUGAGGUGUACGGUUAAGUCCGCCAACGAGCGCAACCCUCGUCCUGUGUUACCAGCGAGAAAGUCGGGAACUCACAGGAGACCGCCGGUGUAAGCCGGAGGAAGGUGGGGAUGAUGUCAAGUCAGCAUGGCAGUUACAUCUGGGGCUUCACACAUGCUACAAUGGGCGCACCAAAGGGCAGCAAUACCGCGAGGUGGAGCAAAUCCCAAAAAUACGCCCCCAGUUCAGAUUGUAGUCUGCAACUCGACUACAUGAAGUCGGAAUCGCUAGUAAACGCAGGUCAGCUAUACUGCGUUGAAUACGUUCCCGGGUCUUGUACACACCGCCCGU
RNAcentral lists this ribosomal RNA (499 nucleotides) under uncultured bacterium. RNAcentral's name for it is "partial 16S ribosomal RNA". It matches the Rfam family "Bacterial small subunit ribosomal RNA", at positions 899 to 1397 of the family's 1533-position model. The record is from RNAcentral.